GACGGUAUUUCAUCACCUGACCAGCGGUGCCUCGCGCCUCCGACCCGCCCACUCUUCACGUGCACGCGGAAUGAUCCUGAAUACACUGAAAUACUGAAACAGACAUGCAUACAUUUUUUUAAACACAAGGUUAAGGUGAUUAGUGAUCUCCCAUAAACUGGCUUGCUCCUCAUCACUGGAGUCUCUGAAACUCACACAUCUCUUGGUCCUCGUGGAAUGUGAUUGUGCAUACAGAUACAGAUAGCACAGAGCUUCCCCAUCAAUGUGAAGCACAGCGAGCAGUAAUGGUCUGUUAAAGGAAAUCAUUUUGUCCAGCAGGACAUGUACAAUAUCCAGGAGCCUGGCUAUGGUGGCAUCACCUGGUAGGCUGCAAAAAUAUGAGGAAGUGUGUGUAUUCAUUUACUUUCCCCCAUGACUUUUCAUUUAAUUUUUAGUUAAAUUAUUUCUGGGGAGAAAUUGAAAUAUUCACUGAGAAAGUGUUUUAAAAUGUUACUUUUAGAUAAUACCUAAUAGAUAACAGCAUUUAUUUGAAAUAUAUUAUUUUGUAACAAUGUAAUAUGAUCACUU
This is a long non-coding RNA of Carassius gibelio (silver crucian carp), 567 nucleotides long. RefSeq lists it as uncharacterized. The record is from RefSeq and is a predicted model, not a curated record. NCBI's taxonomy places the organism in Eukaryota, Metazoa, Chordata, Actinopteri, Cypriniformes, Cyprinidae. The transcript is spliced from 5 exons.